GUUCCUUUCCUAGGCUCCUUUUGUGUGCUACCUUUUAUUCCAGCUGUAUCUCAUUUGAAUUCACCAUUUUUGCCUUCCAUACUAUGCUAGCAAUCUGGUUUUAGGCUAAUUAAAUUAUGGUGCAGCAGUUGACCAUUCUCUCACGGUUUGGUGUGUUUGGCAGUGGUGUGUGACUUCAUUUUAAGGUGAUCCAGGUUCCACAAGCUUCCUUCAAGAGGGUAGCAUCUUAGGAAGUGGAGAGUUUGUAGAAUUGGACACAAAGGUUAUUCUCCAAGCUGCAGCUGCCUUGCGAAACCAGCAACAUUUCUCCACCUUUUCUACCACAAAAUUCAAACACUUUGGGAGAUAGGAUAUAUUCAGCUUUUGUAGCCUACCAAUAUAUACAUAUUAUAGCUCAUUUUAUCACUUUUAUGGCCUUGUAUCAUGAAACCUUUGAAGUUUAAUUUGCUUUACAU
RNAcentral lists this long non-coding RNA (455 nucleotides) under Vigna radiata. RNAcentral describes it as "long non-coding RNA (VRAD_LNC003690)". Lineage: Eukaryota; Viridiplantae; Streptophyta; Magnoliopsida; Fabales; Fabaceae. The record is from RNAcentral.